RNAcentral lists this transfer RNA (76 nucleotides) under Rhizobium sp. TH2. RNAcentral describes it as "tRNA-Lys". It matches the Rfam family "tRNA". From Rfam's summary of the family: Transfer RNA (tRNA) molecules are approximately 80 nucleotides in length. Their secondary structure includes four short double-helical elements and three loops (D, anti-codon, and T loops). Lineage: Bacteria; Pseudomonadati; Pseudomonadota; Alphaproteobacteria; Hyphomicrobiales; Rhizobiaceae. RNAcentral also lists the same sequence under 2 other names. The record is from RNAcentral.
GGGUGCUUAGCUCAGUUGGUAGAGCAGCUGACUCUUAAUCAGCGGGUCGUAGGUUCGAACCCUACAGCACCCACCA